Molecule: long non-coding RNA, 936 nt
Organism: Sycon ciliatum
Lineage: Eukaryota; Metazoa; Porifera; Calcarea; Leucosolenida; Sycettidae
Exons: 4
Source: RefSeq, a predicted model, not a curated record
UUCGUGUUUUGAAGUCUCCUUGGAGUGCAGGCCAAUGAAUUUGAUUAGCGGUUACUUGAGUAAUAACGGAGCUGCUAACGUGCAUCCUCCAGGGUUUUAGACUUUGAUAGAAAUUGUGAUAACAAUUUAGCAGAGGUUGAGGCCGAAGAGGUCGGAAUAGCCUGGCUAGAUUUGAGAAACAUUCUGAAGCAAGAAAUUCCAGAAAUAAUAAAAGAGAGCAGGACCGGCUUCCAUCUUCAAAUAAGGCCUCAUCACGGCAGAGACAAUCAACUUAAGAAAUGUAUUAACUGUGACAGCAGGAUGAAGAAGAUUAUAGAUACAUCUGGGAUGGUGUCGUGGCUAUGCCUGAAUCAAUCUAUCCUGACAUCGUCAUCAUUGUCAUGUCUAAGCAGUAUCAAAUCAGAGAUGUGGCGGAUGUUGCCUGCUACUCAACGUUCUGAUGGUGGCUGAAAAGUGUUUUGAAGAUUAUCAUCAACCUGGGAUCCAUGCAAGGUAUCGCUGUUGCUGUCGGCCUCCUUUUCUGACACCUUGCUGAGGCUGCUGGCAUUGGCCACUUUUCACAAUUCUGAAUAAAACAAACCUAAACUCGCCAGUGUGCUCUACUUCUUGCUGCUGCUGCUGCUGCUGCUGCUGCUGCUGCUGCUACUGCUGCUGUCGGUGCGGGUUUUGUCAGAGUGAGGGGUGCAGCGGUUUGUUCUUGUGUGGUUGACUGGAUUAAUCCUGGAGGUAUACUAUUAUAAUAUUCCUCACGGACCUAACUUAGGUUGCAUGCAAGUAGUAAGCUAGCUGUCUGCAAGUAAUAUGCUUGCUGUCCGCUCUGUGUCGGAACUGUACUGCGGUGUAUGCAUGAGUAACUAUGCAGUGGAGGGAGCAAUCAGUUUGCCGCGAUGCUUAUUGUUUUUGUAGAAAGGCAACGGACUUGAGUUUCCACCAACU